AGGAGAUUCACACAAAGCUCCUGGGAGUGCCCAGGACUGUCCCAAUUCCAUGGAAUUCCUGUGCUACUCCUGAUCUUCCAUGAAGACACUGAACAAUCCCUGCUGUGAGGAUGCACGUGAAGGAAAGCACUGGAUGCCAUUUGCUUUUUAAUCUGGAAAAAGGGGGAGAGAAGAGAAAGGCCCAGGAGCUGCAGGUUGUCCAAGAGGUUGUGGAUUCCACAUCCCUGGCAGUGAGCAAGGCCAGGCUGGAGGAAUUUGGGAUUAUGGAAAGUGUGUCUGCCCAGGGCAGGGAUUGGAACUGGAUGCUCCUUAAAUCCCUUCCAAGCAAACCCAAGCCAUGAUUUUUCUGUGAUUUUCCCUUCCAAGCAAACCCAACCCAUGAUUUUUCUGUGAUUUUCCCUUCCAAGCAAGCCCAAGCCAUGAUUUUUCUGUGAUUUUCCCUUCCAAGCAAACCCAAGCCAUGAUUUUUCUGUGAUUUUCCCUUCCAAGCAAGCCCAAACCAUGAUUUUUCUGUGAUUUUUCUGUGAUUUUCCCUUCCAAGCAAACCCAAGCCAUGAUUUUUCUGUGAUUUUCCCUUCCAAGCAAGCCCAACCCAUGAUUUUCCUGUGAUUUUUCUGUGAUUUUCCCUUCCAAGCAAACCCAAGCCAUGAUUUUUCUGUGAUUUUCCCUUCCAAGCAAACCCAAGCCAUGAUUUUUCUGUGAUUUUCCCUUCCAAGCAAACCCAAGCCAUGAUUUUUCUGUGAUUUUCCCUUCCCAGACCCAGGAUUGGGAACAUUUAAACCUUUCCCCCUCCUUGUUCCUCCCCAGGCUUUCCCUGAGCACCGAAUUUGGCAUUUCCUGACCAGCCUCCAGCAUUGCCAUGGUUUGUUCCCUCUGGGAAGUGAGGCCUCUCCAGCUCAUUUCCAGUCCAUCCCAAAUAAACAUCCUUCACUCCUGAGUGCCCUCUGCUCCUCACAGAGGUGGGAAAACCAAAAAAAGACCUCAUGUGCCCACAAACUCGGGGAUUUUGGGGCAUUUUCCCAAAUCCUCUGUCAUCAGCAACACUUGGCCUUGGAAAUUUGCACCUGGAUGGGACAUCCCAUCAACCCUAAAAUCUGGAAAUUCGGAAUUUUCUGUGCUGGGAACACUGCUGUUGAUCUGAGAGCUUGGAGAAGGCUUCUAAAAUUGAGUGAUAAAGUUAGAAUCACUGGUGUGUAAUUUGAAUAUCACAUGGUGAAGGGUUUGGGGUUUUGGAAUAUACUCAUAGG
Long non-coding RNA from Catharus ustulatus (Swainson's thrush), 1247 nucleotides. RefSeq lists it as uncharacterized. The transcript is spliced from 3 exons. NCBI's taxonomy places the organism in Eukaryota, Metazoa, Chordata, Aves, Passeriformes, Turdidae. The record is from RefSeq and is a predicted model, not a curated record.